RNAcentral lists this ribosomal RNA (440 nucleotides) under uncultured bacterium. RNAcentral's name for it is "partial 16S ribosomal RNA". It matches the Rfam family "Bacterial small subunit ribosomal RNA", at positions 339 to 795 of the family's 1533-position model. The record is from RNAcentral.
CUACGGGAUGCAGCAGUGAGGAAUAUUGCACAAUGGAGGAAACUCUGAUGCAGCAACGCCGCGUGGAGGAUGACGCAUUUCGGUGUGUAAACUCCUUUUAUAUGUCAAGAAAAUGACGGUAGCAUAUGAAUAAGCACCGGCUAACUCCGUGCCAGCAGCCGCGAGUAAUACGGAGGGUGCAAGCGUUACUCGGAAUCACUGGGCGUAAAGGACGCGUAGGCGGGAUAUCAAGUCAGGUGUGAAAUCCUACAGCUUAACUGUAGAACUGCACUUGAAACUGGUAACCUAGAGUAUGGGAGGGGGAGAUGGAAUUAGUGGUGUAGGGGUAAAAUCCGUAGAUAUCACUAGGAAUACCUAAAGCGAAGGCGAUCUCCUGGAACAUAACUGACGCUAAGGCGUGAAAGCGUGGGGAGCAAACAGGAUUAGAUACCCUCGUAGUC